UAAUACGUAGGUACCCGAGCGUUAUCCGGAAUUAUUGGGCGUAAAGGGCACGUAGGCGGACAAAUAAGUUUGAUGUCAAAUAAUGAUGGCUCAACCAUCAAGAGGCGUUGAAAACUGUUUAUCUAGAAUCUCGGAGAGGUAAGUGGAAUUCCAUGUGUAGCGGUGGAAUGCGUAGAUAUAUGGAGGAACACCAAUGGCGAAGGCAGCUUACUGGACGAAGAUUGACGCUGAGGUGCGAAAGCGUGGGUAGCAAACAGGAUUAGAUACCCCUGGUAG
Molecule: ribosomal RNA, 276 nt
Filed under: uncultured bacterium
Lineage: Bacteria
Description: partial 16S ribosomal RNA
Rfam family: Bacterial small subunit ribosomal RNA
Source: RNAcentral